UAGCGGCACCUCUGACCUC
This 19-nucleotide non-coding RNA is filed under the name Arabidopsis thaliana (thale cress). Lineage: Eukaryota; Viridiplantae; Streptophyta; Magnoliopsida; Brassicales; Brassicaceae. The record is from RNAcentral.